UCUGGUAUUGAUUGGUGCUUGCAUCAUGAUUUACAUUUGAGUGAGUGGCGAACUGGUGAGUAACACGUGGGAAACCUGCCCAGAAGCGGGGGAUAACACCUGGAAACAGAUGCUAAUACCGCAUAACAACUUGGACCGCAUGGUCCGAGCUUGAAAGAUGGCUUCGGCUAUCACUUUUGGAUGGUCCCGCGGCGUAUUAGCUAGAUGGUGGGGUAACGGCUCACCAUGGCAAUGAUACGUAGCCGACCUGAGAGGGUAAUCGGCCACAUUGGGACUGAGACACGGCCCAAACUCCUACGGGAGGCAGCAGUAGGGAAUCUUCCACAAUGGACGAAAGUCUGAUGGAGCAACGCCGCGUGAGUGAAGAAGGGUUUCGGCUCGUAAAACUCUGUUGUUAAAGAAGAACAUAUCUGAGAGUAACUGUUCAGGUAUUGACGGUAUUUAACCAGAAAGCCACGGCUAACUACGUGCCAGCAGCCGCGGUAAUACGUAGGUGGCAAGCGUUGUCCGGAUUUAUUGGGCGUAAAGCGAGCGCAGGCGGUUUUUUAAGUCUGAUGUGAAAGCCUUCGGCUCAACCGAAGAAGUGCAUCGGAAACUGGGAAACUUGAGUGCAGAAGAGGACAGUGGAACUCCAUGUGUAGCGGUGAAAUGCGUAGAUAUAUGGAAGAACACCAGUGGCGAAGGCGGCUGUCUGGUCUGUAACUGACGCUGAGGCUCGAAAGUAUGGGUAGCAAACAGGAUUAGAUACCCUGGUAGUCCAUACCGUAAACGAUGAAUGCUAAGUGUUGGAGGGUUUCCGCCCUUCAGUGCUGCAGCUAACGCAUUAAGCAUUCCGCCUGGGGAGUACGGCCGCAAGGCUGAAACUCAAAGGAAUUGACGGGGGCCCGCACAAGCGGUGGAGCAUGUGGUUUAAUUCGAAGCUACGCGAAGAACCUUACCAGGUCUUGACAUACUAUGCAAAUCUAAGAGAUUAGACGUUCCCUUCGGGGACAUGGAUACAGGUGGUGCAUGGUUGUCGUCAGCUCGUGUCGUGAGAUGUUGGGUUAAGUCCCGCAACGAGCGCAACCCUUAUUAUCAGUUGCCAGCAUUAAGUUGGGCACUCUGGUGAGACUGCCGGUGACAAACCGGAGGAAGGUGGGGAUGACGUCAAAUCAUCAUGCCCCUUAUGACCUGGGCUACACACGUGCUACAAUGGAUGGUACAACGAGUUGCGAACUCGCGAGAGUAAGCUAAUCUCUUAAAGCCAUUCUCAGUUCGGAUUGUAGGCUGCAACUCGCCUACAUGAAGUCGGAAUCGCUAGUAAUCGCGGAUCAGCAUGCCGCGGUGAAUACGUUCCCGGGCCUUGUACACACCGCCCGUCACACCAUGAGAGUU
RNAcentral lists this ribosomal RNA (1374 nucleotides) under Lactiplantibacillus plantarum. RNAcentral's name for it is "bacterial SSU rRNA". It matches the Rfam family "Bacterial small subunit ribosomal RNA", at positions 62 to 1412 of the family's 1533-position model. The record is from RNAcentral. Lineage: Bacteria; Bacillati; Bacillota; Bacilli; Lactobacillales; Lactobacillaceae.